UUGCGCCCGAAGCCAUUAGGCUGAGGGCACGUCUGCCUGGGCGUCACACGUCGUUGCCCCCCCCAACCCCCUUGGGAGUUGGAUGGGACGGAUGAUGGCCUCCCGUGUGCUCAGUCACGCGGUUGGCAUAAAUACCAAGUCCUCGGCGACCAACGCCACGACAAUCGGUGGUUGUCAAACCUCGGUUUCCUGUCGUGCGCGUGUGUUGAUCGAGUGCUUUCUUAAACAAUGCGUGUCGAUCCGUCGAUGCUUUCAACGCGACCCCAGGUCAGGCGGGGUUACCCGCUGAAUUUAAGCAUAUCAAA
RNAcentral lists this ribosomal RNA (305 nucleotides) under Rosa davidii. RNAcentral describes it as "eukaryotic LSU rRNA". Lineage: Eukaryota; Viridiplantae; Streptophyta; Magnoliopsida; Rosales; Rosaceae. The record is from RNAcentral.